UUUAAAUGCCUAUUCAGUUUUUCCAGGAACAUGAUUUAAAAAAAAAAGACAAAGUAGGCACAUAAUUACAAAAAAAAGAGGCAGACUAUAAAUUUCCUUUUAGUAAAAAGAAUAGAGAUGUGAGGAAUCUCCAGUAGCUGUUCAGAGUCAUUUAUCUGCUAAUUGUUUUUACUUUUACAGAUCAUUGAGAAUACGAAAGUCAAGACCUAAAAAGAAAGAGGA
This 222-nucleotide long non-coding RNA is filed under the name Bos taurus (domestic cattle). RNAcentral describes it as "long non-coding RNA NONBTAT021736". The record is from RNAcentral. Lineage: Eukaryota; Metazoa; Chordata; Mammalia; Artiodactyla; Bovidae.